This 790-nucleotide ribosomal RNA is filed under the name uncultured Staphylococcus sp. RNAcentral describes it as "bacterial SSU rRNA". It matches the Rfam family "Bacterial small subunit ribosomal RNA", at positions 129 to 905 of the family's 1533-position model. Lineage: Bacteria; Bacillati; Bacillota; Bacilli; Caryophanales; Staphylococcaceae. The record is from RNAcentral.
CCUAUAAGACUGGGAUAACUUCGGGAAACCGGAGCUAAUGCCGGAUAACAUUUGGAACCGCAUGGUUCUAAAGUGAAAGAUGGUUUUGCUAUCACUUAUAGAUGGACCCGCGCCGUAUUAGCUAGUUGGUAAGGUAACGGCUUACCAAGGCAACGAUACGUAGCCGACCUGAGAGGGUGAUCGGCCACACUGGAACUGAGACACGGUCCAGACUCCUACGGGAGGCAGCAGUAGGGAAUCUUCCGCAAUGGACGAAAGUCUGACGGAGCAACGCCGCGUGAGUGAUGAAGGUUUUCGGAUCGUAAAACUCUGUUAUUAGGGAAGAACAAAUGUGUAAGUAACUGUGCACAUCUUGACGGUACCUAAUCAGAAAGCCACGGCUAACUACGUGCCAGCAGCCGCGGUAAUACGUAGGUGGCAAGCGUUAUCCGGAAUUAUUGGGCGUAAAGCGCGCGUAGGCGGUUUCUUAAGUCUGAUGUGAAAGCCCACGGCUCAACCGUGGAGGGUCAUUGGAAACUGGGAAACUUGAGUACAGAAGAGGAAAGUGGAAUUCCAUGUGUAGCGGUGAAAUGCGCAGAGAUAUGGAGGAACACCAGUGGCGAAGGCGACUUUCUGGUCUGUAACUGACGCUGAUGUGCGAAAGCGUGGGGAUCAAACAGGAUUAGAUACCCUGGUAGUCCACGCCGUAAACGAUGAGUGCUAAGUGUUAGGGGGUUUCCGCCCCUUAGUGCUGCAGCUAACGCAUUAAGCACUCCGCCUGGGGAGUACGACCGCAAGGUUGAAACUCAAA